This 192-nucleotide ribosomal RNA is filed under the name uncultured bacterium. Its description in RNAcentral is "partial 16S ribosomal RNA". It matches the Rfam family "Bacterial small subunit ribosomal RNA", at positions 707 to 895 of the family's 1533-position model. The record is from RNAcentral.
CACCGGUGGCGAANGCGCCUUUCUGGACUGUGUCUGACGCUCAGAUGCGAAAGCCAGGGUAGCGAACGGGAUUAGAUACCCCNGGUAGUCCUGGCCGUAAACGAUGGGUACUAGGUGUGGGAGGUAUCGACUCCUUCCGUGCCGGANUUAACGCAAUAAGUAUCCCCCCUGGGGGAGUACGGUCNCAAGACU